Parambassis ranga (Indian glassy fish) is the source of this 675-nucleotide long non-coding RNA. Ensembl annotates it as protein FAM122A-like. NCBI's taxonomy places the organism in Eukaryota, Metazoa, Chordata, Actinopteri, Ambassidae. The record is from Ensembl.
AUGGAACGGAUGGAAGUGGACCAGUGCGCAGGCGCAGCUGGAGGAGCUGGAGGCGGGGCCCUUCGCAGGUCGAACAGCGCCCCGAUGAUCACCAGCGUCAGUGAUGGGAUGACCAUCUUCAGUCCCGUGUCUUCGGCUCGGUACAGACGCAGCAGUGUGUCCAUCAACCCCAGCUGCCCCUCACAGCUCGGCCCCCUCUCUCCGUUCUCUCUGACCGCAGACAGACCGGACCAGAAGAGACAGGAGGAGAACAUGGAGAUGACGCACAGAGGGAGUCUGCAGAGGAUCAGUCCUUCCAGUCUGAUCCCAGUUCCUCCAGUCACUCAGUGGCACGACCACACUUCAGUGUGGUUUCCGUCACAGGACAGCGGAGUCACACCGAACUCCUCCCCGAGUCCCACCCGGAGAUUCAGACCUGCAGUCAGCGCCACCGUGAGGUGGCCGGCGUUAACGCCGCUGAAGAGGAAGGGGGGGGUGGAGUCAGACGGACCCCCAAAGAAGCUUUUUGUUGCUGGGGUAACAGACCCCUCCCACCGCAGCUACACAGUCAGCGUCUCCCAGUCUGCAGCGGACUCUCCUCCUGCGGGGGCCACCAGUCCUCAGUCCAGCCCUCUGUCUUCGUCUGGUGCCCCCUCCUUCACACCCUUCCCCUCCCACCAGCACCCCAGACACUGA